GACGAACGCUGGCGGCGUGCUUAACACAUGCAAGUCGAACGGAAAGGCCCUGCUUUUGUGGGGUGCUCGAGUGGCGAACGGGUGAGUAACACGUGAGUAACCUGCCCUUGACUUUGGGAUAACUUCAGGAAACUGGGGCUAAUACCGGAUAGGAGCUCCUGCUGCAUGGUGGGGGUUGGAAAGUUUCGGCGGUUGGGGAUGGACUCGCGGCUUAUCAGCUUGUUGGUGGGGUAGUGGCUUACCAAGGCUUUGACGGGUAGCCGGCCUGAGAGGGUGACCGGCCACAUUGGGACUGAGAUACGGCCCAGACUCCUACGGGAGGCAGAAGUGGGGAAUAUUGCACAAUGGGCGGAAGCAUGAUGCAGCAACGCCGCGUGCGGGAUGACGGCCUUCGGGUUGUAAACCGCUUCCGCCUGUGACGAAGCGUGAGUGACGGUAAUGGGUAAAGAAGCACCGGCUAACUACGUG
This 468-nucleotide ribosomal RNA is filed under the name uncultured bacterium. RNAcentral describes it as "partial 16S ribosomal RNA". It matches the Rfam family "Bacterial small subunit ribosomal RNA", at positions 28 to 507 of the family's 1533-position model. The record is from RNAcentral.